GGCAGAAUCCUAAACCCUCCUUCCCCUAUUUGCGAACCCUUCAUAUUCCUCGUCUUCUUCAUUCUUAUUUUUGUUUUUCUUUUUAAUCUCAGCCCUAACACUACCGAUGAAUCAAGAAUGGGUUCAAAUUAAACCCGAAGGGUCUUGGUGACUGAUGGCAGUCUUUUGAUUAAAACGAGGGUUUCGCGGUCAAGAUGAAAUAUGAUUUUUGGGUUUGUUGAAUCUCAUUGAGCUAUCCCGGGUAAUAAUUGUUGAAUUUUGAGAAUUAUUUAUUUAAUUAGUUAUUGUCAUUGAUUUAUUCAUUGUUAGGAUAUUUAAUUUUUUUUCUGUUAAAAAUUGGAACACUUGUUUUUUUGUUGAAUUCGGCCUUAUUGACAUAACUGAAUAAGCAUUUUGUUUGAAUGAUUUAAAGGAUUGUUACAGUGAUGGAGUUUUAUAGAGAGUUGGGACUGUGAUUUGCAAAAUGCAUGUCAAUAUGUAGAUUAUAUUAAGUUUACUCUUUUGAAGGUUUACUCCAAUAAUGAAGACAUAUCACUUGGCUCUGUUAGGAUGAUGGUAGAGUGGCAUCUUUAAUCCUACAACAAGUAUGUACGAAUUGUCCUUAUUUUCCUGUUAGCAUUCUUGUAUUCUUUGGCUUGUAUCAUAUUUCAAUAGUCACUUAUAUAUAUUAGUUUUUUCGAAACAAAAUUGCAAGAGCAGAGCUCUACCAAAUGAGUUAUAUCCCCGCAACCAAGAUCUAACUAUCUCUUCUCCAGCAGUCCCCAAAGUUUAUGUUCUAGUUCUUGUAGUUUAUGUAAUUAUACACCAUGCAGUUGGAAUAGCAUGUGCGAGCUAUUUUUCAGUUGGAGCGGGAUUUGCAGCCACUUGUUUCUCGGUAGAAUCUUAGACAAUAAGACAUUUUUAAUGUUUCAAAUGUUGUGGAAGAUUUUGUGAAAGACAUACUUUAUAGGCCAUGCUAGAAGGGCUUUGAGGUAAGAGUUACUUUCAUUUGAUGAAAUUCUGCAUAUGAGCUUUCAGCAUAUUACCGAUUAUAUGUCAUUAAUUCCCAUUGGUAUCUUUUUUUUCAAACAUUCGGUUCACAUUAGUGUAUAUUUCGAAGAUAGAUCUUUAACAUUAAGUGUUAUAUAUGUGUGAAUUUGUAAAAAAUCAUAACAAAGAAUUACUGUAUACAUCAACACAUAGAUGGCGUUAAAUUUCCAUGUCUUCAAGAUGAAAGUGUUGUUCAUCGUAUAUACGUAGACCAGCAAUGAUGACAAGUCAUUUUGUCAAUGACUUAUUUUCUUAUUCAAAUAUCUCUAUGAUGGUUACAAUUCAAAAUUGUUUCUCUUAUGUUAUAUUCUCACCGAGUUGGCUAGUGUUUGGGCAUAAUUUGAUCUUCUCUUUCUAUUAAGUUAUCGAAGUAUCACUUUGUAGCUUAAGUGAUUGUUAUUUUUCUUUACUUCAUUUGGCUUAUAAGGCUUAGCAAAGGUAAAGGAUUAAUUUUGUUCAGUUUUCAUUCCAUAUAGUGUUAGUAUGUUUCAUAUAUAAUUAUAUAAUUAUGAUCAUAAGUGUUUUUUUAUUUUUGCAUAUUUAGAUGAUAAGUGCUUAAAACCAAAGAGAACAGAGAAAACAGAGGCAACAUUUUACAUGAAUAGAAGUUCGGCGCAAGGGUAUGUAAUUGUUUUUUUUUUUUUUGUAAGCUUAGAUCCACUAAAAUACGUUUGUUUACUCUAUUACUUUGGUAAUUUCAAUAAUUUACAUAUAGUAAUUAUAAAUUAAAUUGCAGCAGUCGAAAUGACUAAAAACAUGCAGUAAAGAGCCUACCGAUAGACGUAUUUCCAGAAAUGUGCAGAAACUCUUGCUACCCUUAUCCGAAGGUCUGUCCACUAAGCACAAUUAUAUUUUUUGCUAGUAAAUAAUAAUUUAUCUUGGUUUGUAUUGAUUACUUGUAUUCAGUUGCAGACUGUUGUUGAGAGUUUCUUCAUGUUCAUAUUUAUGAAUACCAGGCCAACAAAGGAAUGACAUUUUCACGGGUGAAAGGAUACCAUUGAAUACAAUAUGUCAGCAAGAAGACCAGAACAUAUUCAUUCAUUCCAUUUUGAGCUACCCGGGGUCAAAACUUCUGGCUAUACUCUCCCGGAUUUGAGUAUAGUACAAUACAUUUGUUCUCCUUUUUUGUUUAUAUAUACAGACCCCAUGUAUAAUUGGUAUCUUUGAAUUUUGGUGGUGAACAAUAUAAUAGUCCUAUCAAUUGUUUAUUGUGUUGUGAUUUUGUAUAACAGAUAAUGGUUUUCGGUUGAAUUUGUUUAUAUAUGAUCG
This 2298-nucleotide long non-coding RNA is filed under the name Erythranthe guttata (spotted monkey flower). Its description in RNAcentral is "long non-coding RNA (EGUT_LNC002180)". Lineage: Eukaryota; Viridiplantae; Streptophyta; Magnoliopsida; Lamiales; Phrymaceae. The record is from RNAcentral.